Molecule: unclassified non-coding RNA, 266 nt
Filed under: uncultured fungus
Lineage: Eukaryota; Fungi
Description: partial contains small subunit ribosomal RNA, internal transcribed spacer 1, and 5.8S ribosomal RNA
Rfam family: Eukaryotic small subunit ribosomal RNA (bases 1-73)
Source: RNAcentral
CCAAACUUGGUCAUUUAGAGGAAGUAAAAGUCGUAACAAGGUUUCCGUAGGUGAACCUGCGGAAGGAUCAUUAUUGAAUAACGAGGACUCAUUUAUGGGCCUCACUUUCAUUACCACACACUGUGCACUGUUGACGAACGCCUUUCUUCAUUGAUUGGUUACUAGUCUUUUUUUUUAACAAACCCAAGUCAAUGAAUGUGAAAUGUAUAACAAAUAAAACUUUAAACAACGGAUCUCUUGGUUCCCGCAUCGAUGAAGAACGCAGC